CUACGUGCCAGCAGCCGCGGUAAUACGGAAGGUCCUGGUGUUAUCCGGAUUUAUUGGGUUUAAAGGGAGCGUAGGCCGUAGAUUAAGUGUGUUGUGAAAUGUAGGCGCCCAACGUCUGCCUUGCAGCGCAAACUGGUUUACUUGAGUACGCGCAACGCAGGCGGAAUUCGUCGUGUAGCGGUGAAAUGCUUAGAUAUGACGAAGAACUCCGAUUGCGAAGGCAGCUGACGGGAGCGCAACUGACGCUUAAGCUCGAAGGUGCGGGUAUCAAACAGGAUUAGAUACCCUGGUAGUCCGCACAGUAAACGAUGGAUGCCCGCUGUUGGUACCUGGUAUCAGCGGCUAAGCGAAAGCAUUAAGCAUCCCACCUGGGGAGUACGCCGGCAACGGUGAAACUCAAAGGAAUCGACGGGGGCCCGCACAAGCGGAGGAACAUGUGGUUUAAUUCGAUGAUACGCGAGGAACCUUACCCGGGCUUGAA
Molecule: ribosomal RNA, 481 nt
Filed under: uncultured bacterium
Lineage: Bacteria
Description: bacterial SSU rRNA
Rfam family: Bacterial small subunit ribosomal RNA
Source: RNAcentral